UCUACGGGAGGCAGCAGUGGGGAAUAUUGCACAAUGGGGGGAACCCUGAUGCAGCGACGCCGCGUGGGUGAGGAAGUACUUCGGUAUGUAAAGCCCUAUCAGCAGGGAAGAAAAUGACGGUACCUGACUAAGAAGCUCUGGCUCACUACGUGCCAGAAGCCGCGGUAAUACGAAGGCGGCAAGCGUUAUCCGGAUUUACUGGGUGUAAAGGGAGCGUAGACGGCGUGCCAAGUCGGAUGUGAACGGCCGGGGCUCAACCCCGGGACUGCAUUGGAAACUGGGGUGCUGGAGUGCCGGAGGGGCAGGCGGAAUGCGUGGUGUAGCGGUGAAAUGCGUAGAUAUUAGGAGGAACCCCGAUGGCGAAGGCGGCUUGCUGGACGGUAACUGACGUUGAGGCUCGAAAGCGUGGGGAGCAAACAGGAUUAGAUACCCGAGUAGUC
This 440-nucleotide ribosomal RNA is filed under the name uncultured bacterium. RNAcentral describes it as "partial 16S ribosomal RNA". It matches the Rfam family "Bacterial small subunit ribosomal RNA", at positions 338 to 795 of the family's 1533-position model. The record is from RNAcentral.